RNAcentral lists this ribosomal RNA (505 nucleotides) under uncultured bacterium. Its description in RNAcentral is "partial 16S ribosomal RNA". It matches the Rfam family "Bacterial small subunit ribosomal RNA", at positions 28 to 507 of the family's 1533-position model. The record is from RNAcentral.
GACGAACGCUGGCGGCGUGCCUAAUACAUGCAAGUAGAACGCACAGUUUAUACCGUAGCUUGCUACACCAUAAACUGUGAGUUGCGAACGGGUGAGUAACGCGUAGGUAACCUGCCUGGUAGCGGGGGAUAACUAUUGGAAACGAUAGCUAAUACCGCAUAAUAUUAAUUAUUGCAUGAUAAUUGAUUGAAAGAUGCAAUUGCAUCACUACCAGAUGGACCUGCGUUGUAUUAGCUAGUAGGUGAGGUAACGGCUCACCUAGGCGACGAUACAUAGCCGACCUGAGAGGGUGAUCGGCCACACUGGGACUGAGACACGGCCCAGACUCCUUCGGGAGGCAGCAGUAGGGAAUCUUCGGCAAUGGACGAAAGUCUGACCGAGCAACGCCGCGUGAGUGAAGAAGGUUUUCGGAUCGUAAAGCUCUGUUGUAAGAGAAGAACGGGUGUGAGAGUGGAAAGUUCACACUGUGACGGUAUCUUACCAGAAAGGGACGGCUAACUACGUG